GAGAGAGAGGUAGAGAGAGAGAGGUAGAGAGAGAGAGAGAGAGGUAGAGAGAGAGAGGUAGAGAGAGAGAGGUAGAGAGAGAGAGGUAGAGAGAGAGAGAGAGAGGUAGAGAGAGAGAGAGAGAGAGGUAGAGAGAGAGAGAGGUAGAGAGAGAGAGGUAGAGAGGUAGAGAGAGAGAGAGAGAGAGGUAGAGAGAGAGAGGUAGAGAGAGAGAGGUAGAGAGAGAGGUAGAGAGAGAGGUAGAGAGAGGUAGAGAGAGGUAGAGAGAGAGAGGUAGAGAGAGGUAGAGAGAGAGAGGAGAGAGAGAGAGAGAGGUAGAGAGAGAGAGAGAGAGAGAGAGAGAGAGAGAGAGAGAGGUAGAGAGAGAGGUAGAGAGAGAGAGGUAGAGAGAGGUAGAGAGAGAGAGGUAGAGAGAGGUAGAGAGAGAGAGGUAGAGAGAGGUAGAGAGAG
Long non-coding RNA from Oncorhynchus tshawytscha (Chinook salmon), 450 nucleotides. Lineage: Eukaryota; Metazoa; Chordata; Actinopteri; Salmoniformes; Salmonidae. The record is from Ensembl.